UAAAAGGUGGCUGAGAUUCAGGCGUUAGAUUGUAAAUCUAAUUACGGAAGUAUUUCCUCUUUUAA
RNAcentral lists this transfer RNA (65 nucleotides) under Chthamalus challengeri. RNAcentral's name for it is "tRNA-Tyr". It matches the Rfam family "tRNA". From Rfam's summary of the family: Transfer RNA (tRNA) molecules are approximately 80 nucleotides in length. Their secondary structure includes four short double-helical elements and three loops (D, anti-codon, and T loops). Further hydrogen bonds mediate the characteristic L-shaped molecular structure. tRNAs have two regions of fundamental functional importance: the anti-codon, which is responsible for specific mRNA codon recognition, and the 3' end, to which the tRNAs corresponding amino acid is attached (by aminoacyl-tRNA synthetases). tRNAs cope with the degeneracy of the genetic code in two manners: having more than one tRNA (with a specific anti-codon) for a particular amino acid; and 'wobble' base-pairing, i.e. permitting non-standard base-pairing at the 3rd anti-codon position. The record is from RNAcentral. Lineage: Eukaryota; Metazoa; Arthropoda; Thecostraca; Balanomorpha; Chthamalidae.